CACAUGACUCUCGGCAACGGAUAUCUUGGCUCUCGCAUCGAUGAAGAACGUAGCAAAAUGCGAUACCUGGUGUGAAUUGCAGAAUCCCGUGAACCAUCGAGUUUUUGAACGCAAGUUGCGCCCGAGGCCUCCUGACCGAGGGCACGUCUGCCUGGGCGUCACGC
Molecule: ribosomal RNA, 164 nt
Filed under: Dactyloctenium aegyptium
Lineage: Eukaryota; Viridiplantae; Streptophyta; Magnoliopsida; Poales; Poaceae
Also listed under: 2 other names
Description: 5.8S ribosomal RNA
Rfam family: 5.8S ribosomal RNA
About the family: 5.8S ribosomal RNA (5.8S rRNA) is a component of the large subunit of the eukaryotic ribosome. It is transcribed by RNA polymerase I as part of the 45S precursor that also contains 18S and 28S rRNA.
Source: RNAcentral